UGGUAUGUACUCCAUGAUUCUAUGCUCGGAUUUCAUAAAACUUGCAAUAAUUUGAGUAUAAGCUGUUCAUCAGAGUAGCUCAUUUAAUCGUAGAAGCAUAGCUGUAGUAGAUCGAUGAAUACUCUCCACUGAAUAAGAGAGAACAUUGUCUUCAUUAAUAUUGAUGGAUUCUAUAACUAUGAGAACCCUUUAAUAAAUAACAAAAUGGAAUGGCUCAGUUAUUUAUUUAUUUGAACGACUGGCAAAUGAGCUGCAGUUUCUCCGCCAGUGAUCAUAAAAAUAGAAUGUCAAAUAGACAAAACUGGGUAUUUAUUUUCGACACCAUUUGCUUUUUCUAUUUAAUCGAAGUGUUAAGGCCACCGAAGCUGCUCGUGAGAUUUGUGCUGUGCAUGGAGAAGGAGCAAUGCCUCAAAGUUCCACCCUCCGUUGGUUUUCGCACUUCAAAAAUGGGAAUGUUUACCUCAAGGACGGAUCACACACCGGUCAACCAGAGAAUUGGCGAAGUAAAUGGAUUGUGAUAAAAAAAAAUUGUAGUGAACCACCUUCACUCAAUGGGGAAGGUUCAGAAACUCGGCGCUUGAGUGCCAACCACUUUGAGCGAAAAUAAAAAAAAUCAACGCUCUACAAUCGCUCAACACAUGGUCUCAAACAGCGUUUUCUUUACCGCAUUGUCCCUGGCAAUGAAAAUGGUGCUUUUACGCGAAAAGAAUGGCUCAACCCCGACAAACAAGUGACUCCGCGAGCAAAACAAGACCUUCAUCGUCGAAAGACCAUGUUGUGUGUAUGGUGGGACUGGGAAGGCAUAAUUCAUUACGAACUGCUUGAGCGCAACCAAACUCUCAAUGCGGAGCUCUACCUUCAACAAUUGCACUGACUCAACGAAGCAAUUCAGCAAAAAAACCGAAUUGGUGAAAUGGCGUUCUUCCGCAACACGACACCGCCCAUCCUCACAUCUCUAAUAUGACCAAAACCACAAUUCAAGAACACGAACGGGAAGUGCUGCCUCAUCCUCCAUACUUUCCAGAUUUUCAGCUCUUUCAACCGCUUUUGAAUGCUUUGCGCGGUGUAUCGUUCAAUAAUGACGUGGAAUUGAGGGUUUGGUUGUACGAAUUCUUUGAGUCAAGACCGGGAGAUUUCUAUCGCCGAGGCACUGAAAAACUUAUUGAACGAUGGGAGGAAGUCGUAAACAACAACGAAGAGUAUAUUAUUGAUUAAUUUAUUGUAGUUUUCUUUAUGUUUAAAAUAAGUUUGAAAAAACGCUCAUGAAUUAUUCCUCAACCCAAUAUUAAGGG
Molecule: long non-coding RNA, 1292 nt
Organism: Octopus sinensis (East Asian common octopus)
Lineage: Eukaryota; Metazoa; Mollusca; Cephalopoda; Octopoda; Octopodidae
Exons: 3
Source: RefSeq, a predicted model, not a curated record